Non-coding RNA from Manduca sexta (tobacco hornworm), 777 nucleotides. NCBI's taxonomy places the organism in Eukaryota, Metazoa, Arthropoda, Insecta, Lepidoptera, Sphingidae. The record is from the annotation of a RefSeq genome assembly.
AAAUAAAUUUUUUAUGGUUUAAAAAUUUUAUUAUAAAUUUAUUUUACAUAUAAAUUUUAGUGUUAAUUAUUAUUUAUUUAAACAAUAAAUAAUUAUUUUAUGUAGUAAUUAAUUUUAAAAAUUUAAGAAAUUAAGAUUUAGUAAUAUAAAAAUUAUUAACUAAUUUUGUGCCAGCAGUUGCGGUUAUACAAAAAUUGAUUUAAAAUUUUUUAGAUAUUAAUAAAUAAAGUAUAUUUUAUAAUAUAAAAAUUAAAUUAUUAAGUGAAAUUUUAAUUUAAUAAAAAAUUAUUUAAAAAUUAUGAAUUAAUAAAUUUAAUAAAAAACUAGGAUUAGAUACCCUAUUAUUAAAAUUUAAAUUAUUAUGCUAAAAUAGUAGGUAAUUUUUUAUUGAAACUUAAAUAAUUUGGCGGUAUUUUAGUUUAUUUAGAGGAAUCUGUUUAAUAAUUGAUAAUCCACGAAUAAAUUUACUUAAUUUAAAAUUUUGUAUAUCGUUGUUAAAAAAAUAUUUUUUAAUAAAAAUAAUAUUUAAAAAUUUUAAAAUAAAAUUAAAUCAGAUCAAGAUGCAGAUUAUAAUUAAGAAUAUAAUGGAUUACAAUAAAUUUAUUUAAUUGGAUUUUAAUAUGAAAUAAUUAAAUGAAAUUGGAUUUAAAUGUAAUUUUAUUUAAUUUAAUAAAAUGAUUAAAUAUUAAAAUAUGUACAUAUUGCCCGUCGCUUUCAUUAAUAAAUUGAAAUAAGUCGUAACAAAGUAGAAGUACUGGAAAGUGUUUCUAGAAAGAU